RNAcentral lists this ribosomal RNA (1072 nucleotides) under Latilactobacillus sakei. RNAcentral describes it as "bacterial SSU rRNA". It matches the Rfam family "Bacterial small subunit ribosomal RNA", at positions 39 to 1072 of the family's 1533-position model. The record is from RNAcentral. Lineage: Bacteria; Bacillati; Bacillota; Bacilli; Lactobacillales; Lactobacillaceae.
CUGGGGGGCUAUACAUGCAAGUCGAACGCACUCUCGUUUAGAUUGAAGGAGCUUGCUCCUGAUUGAUAAACAUUUGAGUGAGUGGCGGACGGGUGAGUAACACGUGGGUAACCUGCCCUAAAGUGGGGGAUAACAUUUGGAAACAGAUGCUAAUACCGCAUAAAACCUAACACCGCAUGGUGUAGGGUUGAAAGAUGGUUUCGGCUAUCACUUUAGGAUGGACCCGCGGUGCAUUAGUUAGUUGGUGAGGUAAAGGCUCACCAAGACCGUGAUGCAUAGCCGACCUGAGAGGGUAAUCGGCCACACUGGGACUGAGACACGGCCCAGACUCCUACGGGAGGCAGCAGUAGGGAAUCUUCCACAAUGGACGAAAGUCUGAUGGAGCAACGCCGCGUGAGUGAAGAAGGUUUUCGGAUCGUAAAACUCUGUUGUUGGAGAAGAAUGUAUCUGAUAGUAACUGAUCAGGUAGUGACGGUAUCCAACCAGAAAGCCACGGCUAACUACGUGCCAGCAGCCGCGGUAAUACGUAGGUGGCAAGCGUUGUCCGGAUUUAUUGGGCGUAAAGCGAGCGCAGGCGGUUUCUUAAGUCUGAUGUGAAAGCCUUCGGCUCAACCGAAGAAGUGCAUCGGAAACUGGGAAACUUGAGUGCAGAAGAGGACAGUGGAACUCCAUGUGUAGCGGUGAAAUGCGUAGAUAUAUGGAAGAACACCAGUGGCGAAGGCGGCUGUCUGGUCUGUAACUGACGCUGAGGCUCGAAAGCAUGGGUAGCAAACAGGAUUAGAUACCCUGGUAGUCCAUGCCGUAAACGAUGAGUGCUAGGUGUUGGAGGGUUUCCGCCCUUCAGUGCCGCAGCUAACGCAUUAAGCACUCCGCCUGGGGAGUACGACCGCAAGGUUGAAACUCAAAGGAAUUGACGGGGGCCCGCACAAGCGGUGGAGCAUGUGGUUUAAUUCGAAGCAACGCGAAGAACCUUACCAGGUCUUGACAUCCUUUGACCACUCUAGAAAUAGAGCUUUCCCUUCGGGGAACAAGUGACAGGUGGUGCAGGGUGUCGUCAGCUCGGGCCGGGAGA